RNAcentral lists this transfer RNA (75 nucleotides) under Candidatus Bathyarchaeota archaeon. RNAcentral describes it as "tRNA-Ile". It matches the Rfam family "tRNA". Rfam says of the family: Transfer RNA (tRNA) molecules are approximately 80 nucleotides in length. Their secondary structure includes four short double-helical elements and three loops (D, anti-codon, and T loops). Further hydrogen bonds mediate the characteristic L-shaped molecular structure. tRNAs have two regions of fundamental functional importance: the anti-codon, which is responsible for specific mRNA codon recognition, and the 3' end, to which the tRNAs corresponding amino acid is attached (by aminoacyl-tRNA synthetases). tRNAs cope with the degeneracy of the genetic code in two manners: having more than one tRNA (with a specific anti-codon) for a particular amino acid; and 'wobble' base-pairing, i.e. permitting non-standard base-pairing at the 3rd anti-codon position. Lineage: Archaea; Thermoproteati; Candidatus Bathyarchaeota. The record is from RNAcentral.
GGGCCGGUAGCUCAGCUUGGUUAGAGCGUUCGGCUGAUAACCGAAAGGUCGAGAGUUCAAGUCUCUCCCGGCCCA